GAUGAACGCUGGCGGCGUGCCUAACACAUGCAAGUCGAGCGAAAAGACGAGGAGCUUUCUCCCCUGACGUUAGCGGCGGACGGGUGAGUAACACGUGGAUAACCUACCUAUAAGACUGGGAUAAUUUCGGGAAACAGGAGCUAAUACCGGAUAAUAUAUUGAACCGCAUGGUUCAAUAGUGAAAGACGGUUUUGCUGUCACUUAUAGAUGGAUCCGCGCCGCAUUAGCUAGUUGGUAAGGUAACGGCUUACCAAGGCGACGAUGCGUAGCCGACCUGAGAGGGUGAUCGGCCACACUGGAGCUGAGACACGGUCCAGACUCCUACGGGAGGCAGCAGUAGGGAAUCUUCCGCAAUGGGCGAAAGCCUGACGGAGCAACGCCGCGUGAGUGAUGAAGGUCUUCGGAUCGUAAAGCUCUGUUGUUAGGGAAGAACAAAUGUGUAAGUAACUAUGCACGUCUUGACGGUACCUAAACAGAAAGCCACGGCUAACUACGUG
Molecule: ribosomal RNA, 497 nt
Filed under: uncultured bacterium
Lineage: Bacteria
Description: partial 16S ribosomal RNA
Rfam family: Bacterial small subunit ribosomal RNA
Source: RNAcentral